GCGCGCUCAGCUGUUCUCUUUUUUCAAUGUCAAUUCAAAGAUAUACUGUGUGAUAUCAAGCUAGCCAGGGUAGUGACAGACGUAGGUUCCGAGUAGCUCCGUGCCGACUAGCAGUAACACUCCCUCACCCACAGAGCUCAAGCAUCGCCACCAGCAGAGCAUACAUUGAAAAGAACAACGGACAAGCUGGAUGAUGCUGUGGAGGUGAUGCUACUGGUGAAAAACAGCGAUCCAGCCUGGUCCCUACCCCGCAAGCGUCGGCUCCACUUCACCAGGUGACCACAUGGACGACUCCACCACGGUCAUCAAGCAUACCCGAACACCAUCACAUGAUUAUGGUAAGAUAUGGAGAAGGAGAGACCAAGGCAAGAGGAGGAAGAGGAAGAGGAGAAGGAGUAAGAUAAGAGGAAUCAAGAGAAAAAAGAAAAGAUUGCAAAAAUAAACUGGGAGAAAUAUGACUUGAGUGUCAUCACUCAGGAAAUGACACCAAACACCAGGAAGAGGAUCUUUGCAGAGAUGUCAGUCAGCCAGCCAGCCAUUGGGGAAAGUCAAGAGUCCCUGAAUGCUGCUAAUUAGAUACUGAUGCCAGGAACACUGCACCUUGAAGGCAAACCACAAACCUUCAACAAGAGUGAUGAAGAACAGCCACAGUAUCAGACAAGACAUGUAGCAAUGAAGAACACCCAAAGUACAUGGGUUGGAUUCUUUGAACAGAAAUAUGGUCUGCUUGUUAACAGAUUCUUUCAAUGUUCACUCAGUCAUUCACUUACUUAGCUCAGAAUGAAUGAAGAAUGUGCAGUGAAAUAAAUAUUGCUGCUUGUAUGGGGGUGAGUCUUGUGAUGGAAUUAAGUGUUUGGUUUUUGUUAUCUUAAAAAAUUUUAUAAAAAAGACUGAAUGUGUGUGUGUGUGUGUGUGUGUGUGUGUGUAAUUCACUGUUUGUUUGAUCUGUUUGGUCUGCUGCAGUCUCUGACGAGACAGCCAGACGUUACCCUACGGAACGAGCUCAGAGCUCAUUAU
Molecule: long non-coding RNA, 1017 nt
Filed under: Portunus trituberculatus (swimming crab)
Lineage: Eukaryota; Metazoa; Arthropoda; Malacostraca; Decapoda; Portunidae
Description: uncharacterized LOC123510148, transcript variant X3
Source: RNAcentral